This 29-nucleotide non-coding RNA is filed under the name Rattus norvegicus (Norway rat). Lineage: Eukaryota; Metazoa; Chordata; Mammalia; Rodentia; Muridae. The record is from RNAcentral.
UUAUAAUGGAUCGCAUGUAGCUGUGCUUU